CAGUAGCAACUCAUGGAGUGCAAGCGAUGUGGACCUCCGUCCUGCUGCUCGUGACGGUCGAAAUGCCAGGACCAGCCAGAGAAGCUCGUCAAAAAGGAGACGCUCACUGAGCACCAAGAUGACGCUCCAGAAGAUCGACCAUGUGGCCCAGCCAACUGGGAUGUAAGGCGCGGAUCCUGUGCGACCUUUGCUACCGCACCUAGGAGCUUGCACCGAUGCGCAACGACAGCCGGCAUGGGUUUGAUGGCCUGUUCCAGACCUUGGGCACCACCAUUAAGCGCUUCAACUAGGCUAUACACUUUCCGGCCCUCGUACUUCCUUCCUUCUCAGAUGCAGCAGAAGGUGGAGGCCAUGAAGGAGCUCAACGAGUUUCCCAUUUGGAGCUCGACAAAGACGAGUUGGACAAAGAGCUGCUUGCAGUUGCGCAGCUACGUGGUGGCAUGACAGUGCGGCACCUUAAAGCGCUCCUUGAUGCGAAUCGCAUAUGUUUUGGCUAGACUAGAUGCACCAGUAGCGUCAGUACUAUAUAUUGGCAAUAAAGCUUUGUUUUUACGAUAUAAUUAUAAUAGAGAGAGAGAGAGCCAAUGACUUACGCCGAGAGUAAGAUCACGCACGUUUUCCUUGCUGCAUUUGCUGUUCCUUUGCUUUCCCUAUUGGUGAUGACACGGCUUGAUCUGAACGCCAGAGCUGAAGCCCCUGCGAUCUAAUCCAGGAAGUUCCUUUGCGCCAUGUACUGUGUGGUUAGUAGCAGGACCAAUAGCAUUCUAUGAAAAAGGAACUGCUUGCGAAGACUUGGGAAAUUCUGCUUUGAAGUGCCUAAUAAUUCUACAUAUAUGUAUGCCUGAUUGCGAGGACGAUGUCCGACGAAUUCGAGUCUGAGGCUUAUCCCGCAGAGCUAGAAGAGUUAAUAGAAAUACUGUAAAGAACGUAUUAAAUAUCACUUUAAUAAAAAAUUGU
RNAcentral lists this small RNA (957 nucleotides) under Drosophila pseudoobscura pseudoobscura. Its description in RNAcentral is "GA29284". The record is from RNAcentral. Lineage: Eukaryota; Metazoa; Arthropoda; Insecta; Diptera; Drosophilidae.